GACGAACGCUGGCGGCGUGCAUAACACAUGCAAGUGGGGCGACGAAUCAACCUUCGGGUUGAGGCUAAGCCGCGAACGGGUGAGUAACACGUGGGCAACCUGCCCCGUCGAGUGGGAUAGCCCGAGGAAACUCGGAUUAAUACCGCGUAAGCUGAUCAACCGCCGGGUUGAUCAAGAAAGGAAGCUUCGGCCUCCGCGAUGGGAUGGGCCUGCGGCCGAUUAGCUGGUUGGUGGGGUAAUGGCCUACCAA
Molecule: ribosomal RNA, 250 nt
Filed under: uncultured bacterium
Lineage: Bacteria
Description: partial 16S ribosomal RNA
Rfam family: Bacterial small subunit ribosomal RNA
Source: RNAcentral